CCUACGGGUGGCAGCAGUGAGGAAUAUUGGUCAAUGGACGCAAGUCUGAACCAGCCAUGCCGCGUGCAGGAAGACGGCUCUAUGAGUUGUAAACUGCUUUUGUACGAGGGUAAACUCAGAUACGUGUAUAUGUCUGAAAGUAUCUUACGAAUAAGGAUCGGCUAACUCCGUGCCAGCAGCCGCGGUAAUACGGAGGAUUCAAGCGUUAUCCGGAUUUAUUGGGUUUAAAGGGUGCGUAGGCGGUCGGUUAAGUCAGAUGUGAAAUCCCGAGGCUCAACUUCGGAAUUGCCUUUGAUACUGUCCGGCUAGAGAGUAGUUGCGGUAGGCGGAAUGUGUGGUGUAGCGGUGAAAUGCUUAGAGAUCAUACAGAACACCGAUUGCGAAGGCAGCUUACUAAGCUACUUCUGACGUUGAGGCACGAAAGCGUGGGGAGCAAACAGGAUUAGAUACCCGAGUAGUC
This 460-nucleotide ribosomal RNA is filed under the name uncultured bacterium. Its description in RNAcentral is "partial 16S ribosomal RNA". It matches the Rfam family "Bacterial small subunit ribosomal RNA", at positions 338 to 795 of the family's 1533-position model. The record is from RNAcentral.